This 622-nucleotide ribosomal RNA is filed under the name Firmicutes bacterium M39. RNAcentral describes it as "bacterial SSU rRNA". It matches the Rfam family "Bacterial small subunit ribosomal RNA", at positions 32 to 649 of the family's 1533-position model. Lineage: Bacteria; Bacillati; Bacillota. The record is from RNAcentral.
CAAGUUGGCGGCGUGCCUAAUACAUGCAAGUCGAGCGAACCACUUCGGUGGUUAGCGGCGGACGGGUGAGUAACACGUGGGCAACCUGCCUGUAAGACUGGGAUAACUCCGGGAAACCGGAGCUAAUACCGGAUAAUCCUUUUCCUCUCAUGAGGAAAAGCUGAAAGUCGGUUUCGGCUGACACUUACAGAUGGGCCCGCGGCGCAUUAGCUAGUUGGUGAGGUAACGGCUCACCAAGGCGACGAUGCGUAGCCGACCUGAGAGGGUGAUCGGCCACACUGGGACUGAGACACGGCCCAGACUCCUACGGGAGGCAGCAGUAGGGAAUCUUCCACAAUGGACGAAAGUCUGAUGGAGCAACGCCGCGUGAGCGAUGAAGGCCUUCGGGUCGUAAAGCUCUGUUGUUAGGGAAGAACAAGUACCGGAGUAACUGCCGGUACCUUGACGGUACCUAACCAGAAAGCCACGGCUAACUACGUGCCAGCAGCCGCGGUAAUACGUAGGUGGCAAGCGUUGUCCGGAAUUAUUGGGCGUAAAGCGCGCGCAGGCGGUCCUUUAAGUCUGAUGUGAAAGCCCACGGCUCAACCGUGGAGGGUCAUUGGAAACUGGGGGACUUGAGUGC